This is a non-coding RNA of Callorhinus ursinus (northern fur seal), 112 nucleotides long. NCBI's taxonomy places the organism in Eukaryota, Metazoa, Chordata, Mammalia, Carnivora, Otariidae. The record is from RefSeq and is a predicted model, not a curated record.
AGACGUGUGGUCUUCCUUUCUGCGCUGUGAACCCGGGCACUCCGUGCCGACGCCACCGGCCUGCGGGUCUCUGAGGGGACCCCCCCCCCAAUCGGACUGCCAAAUUCUCCGG